CUGCGUGGUCUUUUUCGGUUUUGUCAGUGACGAGACAGCAAAGGGAAAAAGUGUUGACCGUCGUUUGCGAGCUAUGCGUAUUUGUCUUCUGUAAGCAGCAACACAGCAAUGCCAAAGCAACCCGUUGUGUGUUUGGGAAGGUAUGAAGAGUACUGUUCAGUCACAGACAUAUUUAUUAAUAUUACAGAAUAUACAGUACAAUCUCAUACACAAAUACUCAUAAAUACAAUUGUCCAUGUCACUUCAUGUCAAUGAAUAUGACGACAAGAAAAUUACAUUAGAAACUAAGAAUAGACAAUUGCACUUGUAAACUCGAACCCACCAAAAAGGAUGAAGCAAUAAACUAUUUACUUUAUUGCUGCCAAGUA
Long non-coding RNA from Drosophila miranda, 368 nucleotides. RefSeq lists it as uncharacterized. The transcript has 2 exons. Lineage: Eukaryota; Metazoa; Arthropoda; Insecta; Diptera; Drosophilidae. The record is from RefSeq and is a predicted model, not a curated record.